Molecule: long non-coding RNA, 300 nt
Organism: Talpa occidentalis (Iberian mole)
Lineage: Eukaryota; Metazoa; Chordata; Mammalia; Eulipotyphla; Talpidae
Exons: 3
Source: RefSeq, a predicted model, not a curated record
GGUGAAGCCCCCACCCCCGGCAAUGAGACACUUACUCAUUUUUCUUGACCAGGGGUCCCUUCAGCUUGGUCUCCAGCCCUCCAAAGAAACCCUUGACAUUCUCCGUCUUGGUGUUCUUCAGCAGACGCUCAGCGAUGUCCUUCUUCUCGGCCAACCAGCUGUUGGCGGACUUCAGGUCACAGGAAGAUGCUGGGUUGUGACAGGACUGGACCUUGGAUGUGAUUCUCCAAGUUUACUCAUCUAAGGAAAGGUGAAGAACCGGGUCUUGUAGAAAACAUCUUGGUCUCGUUUAUCCCAAAA